UAUAAGCAAUCUAUACUGUGAAACUGCGAAUGGCUCAUUAAAUCAGUUAUCGUUUAUUUGAUAGUACCUUACUACUUGGAUAACCGUGGUAAUUCUAGAGCUAAUACAUGCUAAAAACCCCGACUUCGGAAGGGGUGUAUUUAUUAGAUAAAAAACCAAUGCCCUUCGGGGCUCUUUGGUGAUUCAUGAUAACUUAACGAAUCGCAUGGCCUUGCGCCGGCGAUGGUUCAUUCAAAUUUCUGCCCUAUUAACUUUCGAUGGUAGGAUAGAGGCCUACCAUGGUAUCAAUGGGUAACGGGGAAUUAGGGUUCUAUUCCGGAGAGGGAGCCUGAGAAACGGCUACCACAUCCAAGGAAGGCAGCAGGCGCGCAAAUUACCCAAUCCCGACACGGGGAGGUAGUGACAAUAAAUACUGAUACAGGGCUCUUUUGGGUCUUGUAAUUGGAAUGAGUACAAUUUAAAUACCUUAACGAGGAACAAUUGGAGGGCAAGUCUGGUGCCAGCAGCCGCGGUAAUUCCAGCUCCAAUAGCGUAUAUUAAAGUUGUUGCAGUUAAAAAGCUCGUAGUUGAACCUUGGGCCUGGCUGGCCGGUCCGCCUCACCGCGUGUACUGGUCCGGCCGGGCCUUUCCUUCUGGGGAUCCGCAUGGCCUUCACUGGCUGUGUCGGGGAACCAGGACUUUUACUUUGAAAAAAUUAGAGUGUUCAAAGCAGGCCUUUGCUCGAAUACAUUAGCAUGGAAUAAUAGAAUAGGACGUGCGGUCCUAUUUUGUUGGUUUCUAGGACCGCCGUAAUGAUUAAUAGGGAUAGUCGGGGGCAUCAGUAUUCAAUUGUCAGAGGUGAAAUUCUUGGAUUUAUUGAAGACUAACUACUGCGAAAGCAUUUGCCAAGGAUGUUUUCAUUAAUCAGUGAACGAAAGUUAGGGGAUCGAAGACGAUCAGAUACCGUCGUAGUCUUAACCGUAAACUAUGCCGACUAGGGAUCGGGCGAUGUUAUUCUUUUGACUCGCUCGGCACCUUACGAGAAAUCAAAGUCUUUGGGUUCU
This 1043-nucleotide ribosomal RNA is filed under the name Botryosphaeria pseudoramosa. RNAcentral describes it as "SSU rRNA". It matches the Rfam family "Eukaryotic small subunit ribosomal RNA", at positions 64 to 1115 of the family's 1831-position model. Lineage: Eukaryota; Fungi; Ascomycota; Dothideomycetes; Botryosphaeriales; Botryosphaeriaceae. The record is from RNAcentral.